CGGGGUGUAGCGUAGUUUGGUAGCGCGCGUGGUUUGGGACCAUGAGGCCGGGGGUUCAAAUCCUCUCACCCCGACCA
This 77-nucleotide transfer RNA is filed under the name Tissierellia bacterium. RNAcentral's name for it is "tRNA-Pro". It matches the Rfam family "tRNA". From Rfam's summary of the family: Transfer RNA (tRNA) molecules are approximately 80 nucleotides in length. The record is from RNAcentral. Lineage: Bacteria; Bacillati; Bacillota; Tissierellia.